Molecule: ribosomal RNA, 253 nt
Filed under: uncultured bacterium
Lineage: Bacteria
Description: partial 16S ribosomal RNA
Rfam family: Bacterial small subunit ribosomal RNA
Source: RNAcentral
GACAGAGGGUGCAAACGUUGUUCGGAAUUACUGGGCGUAAAGCGUGUGUAGGCGGUCUAGCAAGUCGGAUGUGAAAGCCCCGGGCUCAACCCGGGAAGUGCACUCGAUACUGCUGGACUUGAGUCUCGGAGAGGUUGGUGGAAUUCUCGGUGUAGAGGUGAAAUUCGUAGAUAUCGAGAGGAACACCGGCGGCGAAGGCGGCCAACUGGACGAAGACUGACGCUGAGACACGAAAGCGUGGGGAGCGAACAGG